GCCCGAAGCCGAUUAUCUAACCUUUUGGAAGAAGUCGUCGAAGGUGGAAUCAAUAACUGGGGUGCAGUCGUAACAAGGUAGCCGUAUCGGAAGGUGCGGCUGGAUCACCUCCUUUCUAAGGAGA
RNAcentral lists this ribosomal RNA (124 nucleotides) under Clostridioides difficile. RNAcentral describes it as "partial 16S ribosomal RNA". It matches the Rfam family "Bacterial small subunit ribosomal RNA", at positions 1419 to 1533 of the family's 1533-position model. The record is from RNAcentral. Lineage: Bacteria; Bacillati; Bacillota; Clostridia; Peptostreptococcales; Peptostreptococcaceae.